This is a ribosomal RNA of Cavia aperea (Brazilian guinea pig), 108 nucleotides long. The record is from Ensembl. NCBI's taxonomy places the organism in Eukaryota, Metazoa, Chordata, Mammalia, Rodentia, Caviidae.
ACAGACCAUACCACCCUGAACGCACCCGAUCUCGUCUGAUCUCGGAAGCUAAGCAGGGUCGGGCCUGGUUAGUACUUGGAUGGAAGACAAAAUAGGUAGAAAUCUUGA